AGAGUUUGAUCCUGGCUCAGGACGAACGCUGGCGGCGUGCCUAACACAUGCAAGUCGAACGGAGAAUUUCAAUAAGCUUGCUUAGCGAAAUUUUUAGUGGCGGACGGGUGAGUAACGCGUGGGUAACCUACCCAUAAAGCCGGGACAACCCUUGGAAACGAGGGCUAAUACCGGAUAAUCUUAAGGUUUGGCAUCAGACUUUAAGGAAAGGUGGCCUCUGAAAAUGCUACCGAUUAUGGAUGGACCCGCGUCUGAUUAGCUAGUUGGUGGGGUAAAGGCCUACCAAGGCGACGAUCAGUAGCCGGCCUGAGAGGGUGAACGGCCACACUGGGACUGAGACACGGCCCAGACUCCUACGGGAGGCAGCAGUGGGGAAUCUUCCGCAAUGGACGAAAGUCUGACGGAGCAACGCCGCGGGUAUGAUGAAGGUCUUCGGAUUGUAAAGU
RNAcentral lists this ribosomal RNA (446 nucleotides) under uncultured bacterium. Its description in RNAcentral is "bacterial SSU rRNA". It matches the Rfam family "Bacterial small subunit ribosomal RNA", at positions 8 to 431 of the family's 1533-position model. The record is from RNAcentral.